ACACUAUUCAACAUCCCCACAGCACACUUUCCACUGCCCAUAUACAUAGGCUAGUCGAAAGAAUUGUGUGUUUGGUCAGUAGUUCAGUUGGUUGGUCACAUAUGUUGGUUUGCUGUUCAGGUUUGGUUUGUUGCAUUUUGUUUGGGUAUUUCCAACAUGGUAAAGAUGGUUUGUUGUUCCCAGUAUUUGUUUUGUCUGUCUGGGUAAGUUUCCUCCGUUCUGGCUCGGUCGGUCCUUGUGAUUUUGGUACUGGUUUUCUGUCCCAACCAUAUAAUCGCAUAUUUUCUAAUCUUCCAUACGCUACACUAAUCCCUUUACAGAUUUCAUGAUACUUACUUUAUUCUAAUAAAUAACUUUAUCCCUUAUGUGUGGAUCCCGAUCUUUGCUCUGACCCGAGCCUCGUCUUAAUGCAGCCAAGGAGAUGGAUAUCAACACAAUGGGAGAGUAUUAUCAAUAAUUAUUCAAUGAUUGUGUUGUACAAUAAAACACAGUAAAGAUUCAAUAUGAAUGGCAAAAUAAAGAAUAAGAAUAAAAUAUGUGUUGGGCAAAUUAUAGAGAAACUGAGAUUAUAGAUUUCAUAUCAAAAGGUGAAGGGCUGAACAAUUUUAAGAAAUAUAUUAAAGAAAUAUAGGCCUACUCAAAGCCCAAAUCAUUGAUAUCAUAACCUAUCCAAUAUUAAAGAAAUUUGAAUUUGAAUGGUAACAAUUCCGUCUGGUGUUAAAUCCUCGUUCUCGUUUUGAACGUCUCACUCAUGGCCGAUCACAGUGUGUUCUUUCUGAUUAGCUCUUAUUGAGAUCACCUGUCACAAACCCCUUUAUUAAAGGUGGACACAAUGGGUUUGGUUUACUUUGCAUCGGCCUGUGUCAAUCGGGGUUGAGUUUAGGGAGUGUUGAAAGUUUUCGAUCUAGAUUGCAGAUCACUAUUGUCACUUUAUACAAACUGGAAGCAUGCGUUGUUGCGUGUUUGUUUUUGUGGGCAUUUGACUGAGCAGCCCAGACCAAUAUUGCUACCAGCAUGGCACUUCGAAACAGACCACCGCAGUGUUAGAUGACUGACUGACAAGAUCUAUGGGGGGGCCCCCUUUGGGCCCCCCCAUACCAACUUAGUCUUCAAAGGAAUCUAGUGCCAUGGGACUCCAGUGUCUUCAAAACAUCCUCGGAAUACAUGUGUAUGAAUGGUCCACCGAAGGGUUGAUCUGGAAGCCACCACGGUCCACGCAGUAAUAUGCUGCGUGGGCCGUAGUGGCUUCCAGAGCCAUCUUUCGGUCUUGGUCAGGAUUUGUUACAGUUGCCCUUCAAUGUAGCAGGCUACGGGUUUCUGAAGAAGCCUGCUUUACGUAGCAUUGGAGUACAAAUAUUGUGCAAAAUGCUCAUGUAAUUGCCCUAGCACUAGUAACCUGUAGAUUAGCUUAGUUUAACGUCAUUCCGUGCUGUCUCUGUCAAAUGUGUGGCUUACUUUAAGUCCAUAAGGCCCUCUGGUAAACCAUGUUGGAACACCCCUGGACAAGGUGAUUAGUCACUGGGUGUGUGUGCUAAAGUUUUGUUCCAUUUUUCACUAGUUGGUUAAGGUUUGGUAGAAUUGUUUGGAUGCUAGCGACGUGAUGGCGUAUGUACAAGAGCCUACUGUGGCCAGGCCACAGUUGCGACGGUCACGGCCAGAUGGCCUAGUGUGAGUGCAACCUUGAUUGCAUUUGUAUACUGUUUACCAUUGGAUGUUUAUGCAAUUUGGCUUAAUUCAUCCGCAGUAAAGCUGCAUUUGACUAUUCCAGGGUUGUUUUGUACAGGCUUUCAAUUGACCAUGUUGACUAGUUUGUGGGAAGUUAUUAUUUUUUUUUAUUCUUGCUUACAAUCCAACGGUUGUGACCACUUAUGCAACUGGGCUGUGAACCUUGCAAUUCUAGUUGCAUAUUUAUACACGCAAGCUUGUCCAUUUCUAUCGCCAUCACUAACACUAGCUUCAGCAUUUCCUUGUAGGCCAUUAGCUGACUUGUGUAUUGGAGCGAUGAUUUGGGUAUUUUAAGAUGCUUGAAAACCUAAAAUAAAGCAAAAUGCAUGUCUGGUGUGCAAGAGCCAAUUUGUUGGCUUGCAGUAGUCGAGGAGUUGCCGUAGGUCGUAAGCCAUCUGGAGGUUGUGGCAAUGGAGGCUUGUGGUAGAUCUGCCAUCCAAGAAAGGUUAAUAAUUCUUCUGAAGCAUGAUUAAUAUUUUAGUGAAUUGAAUCUAUUCAUAUAGAACUAUAAAAUCCAAGACUGCAGCCAGUAACUUGGAUCGCAAUAUGUGGAAAGUAUUAGUCUUCAUUUGUAACAGAAUAAUUAACAUGACUAACUGGGUUUCUUCCAUUUUCUAACUAGGGGGAGUUGACUGGUGAGUCUACUGGAUUAAUCAGUAGCGGUACUUUGCCCAACAGAUUUGAUGGCAUGACUACAGGUUGGUGGUUCAACACUGAUGUCUCUCUAGGCUUGAGGGAGAGCUCACAAGUAAAUUACACGAAUGUCCUGGAGGAAUUGGGAAUACACUUUUAUUUAGUCUACCUGACCAGGGGCAUCUUUGAACUAUAGGUCACCUAACCCAAACUUUUCACUCUUGUUAGGUUGUCCUUUUCUCUUGUUUUAACCCGAAAGGGCUGAAAUAUCAACAUUUCAGGUAUUCUGUUUGGAUAAUGUGCAAAACUUGUAGCUUCUCUAAUAAAAAAAAUUAACGAAUAUUUUUCUUAAUGUGGUUAAACUAUUUAAAGAUUUGUAUGCAAAAUAUUUCUGCUCAAUGAAACUCUGACAUUUUUAAUUUGAUAAAACUCAACUAUGGGUUAAUGGUAUUUGCUUUGGGCAUCUUUUAAUAUUUUUAGAAUCUAGCUCCAUUGCCGUUAGAAAUGGUGUCUCCCAGUACUGCAAAGUGCUUCCACAAAUUUAAAAAAUGGGCAGAAAAGGAACUGCCAACUAAAUCUAUUUAACAUGGGUAGAAAGUUUCCAUGGAAGCUCUUGGCUGCUGGUUCCCAACACAGCUCCACUGUUAGCCUGUGACCUUGCGUUUAACUUUUUUCGACUUUUGGUGACUUUCACAAAAGAGAAAUGAACAAUGUUAAUACAAGACCCCCUUUGAUCAAAGGGGUUCUCAAAUGUUGACCCUCAGUCACCUAUUGCAUCACUUCCUUUAGGGCUUCGGCCUCCUAAUUGAUCAUUAUAGUAUAAUUGAAUGCCCUCUUUCAUAUAUAUGAUGCCUCCACCACUGGGACGUGGCAACAAUUCUCCAAAUCCAUAUGGGGGGGAUGCUUGUGGACAGUAGGGGUGUAUACUCGACAUAAAUAGGAAGCAAACUCAUCUCACAAAUGGGUAAUGACAUCUCACAAAUAUUUAUUUAAUAAAUUGUUUCAAUUUAUAAUAAUCCAAAAUCCAAUGGCAAAACCAGGCCCCCAGGAUAGGCGCAUACUUCCGCAAUCCACCAGUGCUCAGAGGC
Gadus macrocephalus (Pacific cod) is the source of this 3446-nucleotide long non-coding RNA. RefSeq lists it as uncharacterized. The transcript is spliced from 3 exons. The record is from RefSeq and is a predicted model, not a curated record. NCBI's taxonomy places the organism in Eukaryota, Metazoa, Chordata, Actinopteri, Gadiformes, Gadidae.